RNAcentral lists this ribosomal RNA (322 nucleotides) under uncultured beta proteobacterium. RNAcentral describes it as "bacterial SSU rRNA". It matches the Rfam family "Bacterial small subunit ribosomal RNA", at positions 171 to 490 of the family's 1533-position model. Lineage: Bacteria; Pseudomonadati; Pseudomonadota; Betaproteobacteria. The record is from RNAcentral.
GCAUAUUCUCUAAGGAGGAAGUAGGGGAUCGAAAGACCUUAUGCCUUUGGAGCGGCCGAUGUCUGAUUAGCUAGUAGGUGGGGUAAUGGCCUACCAAGGCGACGAUCAGUAGUUGGUCUGAGAGGACGACCAGCCACACUGGGACUGAGACACGGCCCAGACUCCUACGGGAGGCAGCAGUGGGGAAUUUUGGACAAUGGGCGAAGCCUGAUCCAGCAAUGCCGCGUGAGUGAAGAAGGCCUUCGGGUUGUAAAGCUCUUUCAGUUGAGAAGAAAAGGUUGUGGCUAAUAAUCACAAUCCAUGACGGUAUCAACAGAAGAAG